CCUACGGGAGGCAGCAGUCGAGAAUUAUUCACAAUGGGGGAAACCCUGAUGGUGCGACGCCGCGUGGGGGAAUGAAGGUCUUCGGAUUGUAAACCCCUGUCAUGUGGGAGCAAAUUAAAAAGAUAGUACCACAAGAGGAAGAGACGGCUAACUCUGUGCCAGCAGCCGCGGUAAUACAGAGGUCUCAAGCGUUGUUCGGAAUCACUGGGCGUAAAGCGUGCGUAGGCUGUUUCGUAAGUCGUGUGUGAAAGGCGCGGGCUCAACCCGCGGACGGCACAUGAUACUGCGAGACUAGAGUAGUGGAGGGGGAACCGGAAUUCUCGGUGUAGCAGUGAAAUGCGUAGAUAUCGAGAGGAACACUCGUGGCGAAGGCGGGUUCCUGGACAUUAACUGACGCUGAGGCACGAAGGCCAGGGGAGCGAAAGGGAUUAGAUACCCGAGUAGUC
RNAcentral lists this ribosomal RNA (446 nucleotides) under uncultured bacterium. RNAcentral describes it as "partial 16S ribosomal RNA". It matches the Rfam family "Bacterial small subunit ribosomal RNA", at positions 338 to 795 of the family's 1533-position model. The record is from RNAcentral.